AUUGAACGCCGGCGGCAGGCUUAACACAUGCAAGUCGAGCGGAGUGAUGGUGCUUGCACUAUCACUUAGCGGCGGACGGGUGAGUAAUGCUUAGGAAUCUGCCUAUUAGUGGGGGACAACAUCUCGAAAGGGAUGCUAAUACCGCAUACGUCCUACGGGAGAAAGCAGGGGAUCACUUGUGACCUUGCGCUAAUAGAUGAGCCUAAGUCGGAUUAGCUAGUUGGUGGGGUAAAGGCCUACCAAGGCGACGAUCUGUAGCGGGUCUGAGAGGAUGAUCCGCCACACUGGGACUGGAACACGGCCCAGACUCCUACGGGAGGCAGCAGUGGGGAAUAUUGGACAAUGGGGGGAACCCUGAUCCAGCCAUGCCGCGUGUGUGAAGAAGGCCUUAUGGUUGUAAAGCACUUUAAGCGAGGAGGAGGCUCUUUUGGUUAAUACCCAAGAUGAGUGGAUGUUACGCGCAGAAUAAGCACCGGCUAACUCUGUGCCAGCCGCCGCGGUAA
RNAcentral lists this ribosomal RNA (503 nucleotides) under uncultured bacterium. RNAcentral's name for it is "partial 16S ribosomal RNA". It matches the Rfam family "Bacterial small subunit ribosomal RNA", at positions 30 to 523 of the family's 1533-position model. The record is from RNAcentral.